Molecule: ribosomal RNA, 253 nt
Filed under: uncultured bacterium
Lineage: Bacteria
Description: partial 16S ribosomal RNA
Rfam family: Bacterial small subunit ribosomal RNA
Source: RNAcentral
GACGAACCGUGCAAUCGUGAUUCGGAAUCACUGGGCUUAAAGGGCGCGUAGGCGGGCAAUCAAGUCCGGGGUGAAAUCCUCCAGCUUAACUGGAGAAGUGCCUCGGAUACUGGUCGUCUCGAGGGGGGUAGGGGCAUCUGGAACUAGCGGUGGAGCGGUGAAAUGCGUUGAUAUCGCUAGGAACUCCGGUGGCGAAGGCGAGGUGCUGGACCCUUUCUGACGCUGAGGCGCGAAAGCCAGGGGAGCGAACGGG